This 292-nucleotide ribosomal RNA is filed under the name uncultured bacterium. RNAcentral's name for it is "partial 16S ribosomal RNA". It matches the Rfam family "Bacterial small subunit ribosomal RNA", at positions 505 to 796 of the family's 1533-position model. The record is from RNAcentral.
GUGCCAGCCGCCGCGGUAAUACGGAGGGUGCAAGCGUUAUCCGGAUUUAUUGGGUUUAAAGGGUGCGCAGGCGGUAUAUUAAGUCAGUGGUGAAAUCCUGCAGCUUAACUGUAGAUGUGCCAUUGAAACUGAUGUACUUGAGUUAUCUUGAGGUAGGCGGAAUGUGUAGUGUAGCGGUGAAAUGCUUAGAUAUUACACAGAACACCGAUUGCGAAGGCAGCUUACCAAGGGUCAACUGACGCUCAGGCACGAAAGCGUGGGGAUCGAACAGGAUUAGAAACCCUAGUAGUCC